Molecule: long non-coding RNA, 476 nt
Organism: Apis dorsata (giant honeybee)
Lineage: Eukaryota; Metazoa; Arthropoda; Insecta; Hymenoptera; Apidae
Exons: 2
Source: RefSeq, a predicted model, not a curated record
UUGAAUCUAUUUACAAAUCACUUUUAUAAUCAAUCAUGGUACAUCAAGUGUUAAAACUAUGGACUUAAAAUCAUCCAAUUCGAAAUAGAUGGAAAAACCAACAACGGAUACCACGAAGUAUUUUCACGCUAGGCAAAGGUAACCAGAUAUGUUAAUGCCUGGUCGAUCGAGGUAAGUACGUAUUACCGUGCAACGUGUAACGUUAUCGGGACAGAAUUACCGCUCCAGAAAUGGUGCGUGGUCCGGGUUUCCUUUUAAAUGUGUUAUUUCGCGAAGCUCGUGCCCAAUCAUGCACGAAUGCAACAAUGAACAGGGUCGAAAUAGGGGGAUAGAAGAGGCAGAGACCGGUGAUUUGACCGGAGGCAGGCUCAACAAGCGUUGUAAGGAGAUUUCGUUAAGAAUACGAAAAUCUUAAUGAUCGUCGAUCUUUGAAAAUGUUCAAACCGAGAUUCUUAAUAAUAACACAAUUUUUUAAA